This is a non-coding RNA of Peromyscus maniculatus bairdii (prairie deer mouse), 291 nucleotides long. NCBI's taxonomy places the organism in Eukaryota, Metazoa, Chordata, Mammalia, Rodentia, Cricetidae. The record is from RefSeq and is a predicted model, not a curated record.
AUGGCAUCUGACACCCACCAUGUUAAAAAACGAAACUUCUCUAAUAGUAUUGAGGAUCAUCCCAUUGAUCUUCCUAGAAAGAGGAUCUCUAAUUUCACUAGUAAGAACAUGAAGGAGGUUAAGAAAUCUCCAAAACAGUUGGCUGCUUACAUAAGUAGAACAGUUGGACAAGCUGUGAAAAGCCCAGAUAAACUGCGCAAGGUGCUCUAUCACAAAAAGUUAGUUCGUCAUCCCUUUCCAAAUCCUUGUUACAGAACUAAGCAGUCCCCUAAAAGUGGGGGCUGUGACAUG